GCUCAACGAUGGAAGGGGUUCCGGCUCGUUUCGUCUCCGUAGUAGACGCAGCGGACGACGGCGGUCUUUGUGGACGCAACGGCGAGGCGAGAUGUGCCUGCUGGCCAUGGCAGAGUGAGGCGAGCGGCAACGACCGUGCUCGGCGAUGGAUCUGGAGGAGGUGACGAGUGCGUGGGCAAGAGAGAGAGCGAGGGGGCGCAAGUGGGGAGCGGUGAGUGGACGGGAGGGCUCGAGGCGUCGAGGGGACGGCGCCCUUAUCCCCUC
This 264-nucleotide ribosomal RNA is filed under the name Triticum aestivum (bread wheat). Its description in RNAcentral is "partial small subunit ribosomal RNA". Lineage: Eukaryota; Viridiplantae; Streptophyta; Magnoliopsida; Poales; Poaceae. The record is from RNAcentral.